RNAcentral lists this transfer RNA (73 nucleotides) under Cordylochernes scorpioides. RNAcentral's name for it is "tRNA-Thr". Lineage: Eukaryota; Metazoa; Arthropoda; Arachnida; Pseudoscorpiones; Chernetidae. The record is from RNAcentral.
GUCCAGGGAUGGGAAUCAAACCCACGACCUUCCGCUUACCGGGCAGAUGCCAUGUCCACUAGGCUACCCUGGA